This 129-nucleotide ribosomal RNA is filed under the name Clavulina sp. RNAcentral's name for it is "partial large subunit ribosomal RNA". Lineage: Eukaryota; Fungi; Basidiomycota; Agaricomycetes; Cantharellales; Hydnaceae. The record is from RNAcentral.
CGGGAAGAGCUCAAAUUUAAAAUCUGGCAAUCGUUGGUUGUCCGAAUUGUAGUCUAGAGAAGCGUUUUCCGUGCUGGACUGUGUACAAGUUUCCUGGAUACGGAACAUCAUAGAGGGUGAGAAUCCCGU